AUUGAACGCUGGCGGCAGGCCUAACACAUGCAAGUCGAACGGUAACAGGAAGAAGCUUUCUUCUUUGCUGACGAGUGGCGGACGGGUGAGUAAUGUCUGGGAAACUGCCUGAUGGAGGGGGGUAACUACUGGAAACGGUAGCUAAUACAGCAUAACGUCGCAAGACCAAAGAGGGGGACAUUCUGGCCUCUUGCCAUCGGAUGUGCCCAGAUGGGAUUAGCUAGUAGGUGGGGUAACGGCUCACCUAGGCGACGAUCCCUAGCUGGUCUGAGAGGAUGACCAGCCACACUGGAACUGAGACACGGUCCAGACUCCUACGGGAGGCAGCAGUGGGGAAUAUUGCACAAUGGGCGCAAGCCUGAUGCAGCCAUGCCGCGUGUAUGAAGAAGGCCUUCGGGUUGUAAAGUACUUUCAGCGGGGAGGAAGGGAGUAAAGUUAAUACCUUUGCGCAUUGACGUUACCCGCAGAAGAAGCACCGGCUAACUCCGUG
Molecule: ribosomal RNA, 490 nt
Filed under: uncultured bacterium
Lineage: Bacteria
Description: partial 16S ribosomal RNA
Rfam family: Bacterial small subunit ribosomal RNA
Source: RNAcentral